Molecule: non-coding RNA, 225 nt
Organism: Vicia faba (fava bean)
Lineage: Eukaryota; Viridiplantae; Streptophyta; Magnoliopsida; Fabales; Fabaceae
Source: the annotation of a GenBank genome assembly
AUGGAGAUGUGCAAAUUCAGAUUCCUUGACCAGCCUCCAUUAAACAGGUAUGAAUGUGUGUUUAAAGAUGGAGGUCUGAUGCAGAAUUAUGCAGAAACCAACAUACAGAUUGUCGUGCUUUGGAGCGGCACAAGUGAACGAAAGUGGAAUCAGAACAUCAUACCAGGUACGAUGUGGGUUGAGGUUUUGCUAGAAUCUUGGAUCAUAAGCUUUAUGGUUGGAUGA